This is a long non-coding RNA of Phasianus colchicus (ring-necked pheasant), 2600 nucleotides long. RefSeq lists it as uncharacterized. NCBI's taxonomy places the organism in Eukaryota, Metazoa, Chordata, Aves, Galliformes, Phasianidae. The record is from RefSeq and is a predicted model, not a curated record.
CUUUUCUGGAGAUUCACUCUGCUGGAGUUUCACAAGCAAGCUCAGGAUAUGAGUGUUGUCGGAACCCGAUCCUGCAAAUCAUUUCUCCAGGCAGCCCUCACAUGUGAGGGAUCCCAGGCAUGGCGAAAAGACUGCGGGUGUGACUGAGUUGACUGGAAAAAAAGGGAAAUCUUCCACAUGAUCUGCUGAUCCUGGUCCUUGGUUCCUGCAAAAAAAAUGCAUCUAUUCUUCCUCAACAUCCCUCAAUUUGACAAUAUUGGCAUUCAAGAUCUGAAGUGCUGUAAAUGUACGUCAAUGAAAAACAAACAACCAGAUCAAGAUAAAGGCUUGCAGCACAUCUUUCUCUUUCCCUCCUGUGACAAUUGCCACUUUUUUCAUGGACAAGCUUAAAAGAAAUGGCUUUGCUUGGGUAAAAUUGAUGAGAUCUCUGUGCAGGUGUAUAAGGCAGCUUCUGGCUUUAAAAAAAAAAGUGUGAAGCACUUAUGUCAUCAAUGAACUGAUCAGAUGAUAAGCAUGCUUAUUUCCUUAGCUCUCUAAUUACUUUUCUCUCUUGAAGAAAGUAUCUAGAAUUGCAUGGAGCCUAGGCUUAGACUGAAAAUUUAAUGUCAGUGGAAAUUCACUGAAGUUAUGCUUUUCCUGGAAAAAUCAACCACUGUUACAUUUUAUGAGUCUCAAACAGAAUUAAAGUAGUGUUGUAACUCUGGUUUGAGCCAAAUGUUUGCUUCAGCAAUUGUUUUAAAUGUUACUGUUAAUACAACAUAGAGUUUCUAUGUCUAAACAAAAAGAUAAUGGCAGCAUACUAACUACAUAAAACCAUCAUGAAUUGGGGUCAAAUAGACAUACAUUUUAAUUAUCUCUGUGAAUGAAGAACAUAAUUCAGAGAUACUUAUUACCAUCUACCAUAUUGCGAAGUAAGCAAAUUUGUGCUUAGGGUAAUUAUCUUUGUAGUUCAUAAAGUUCAAGAAUUUUUCAAUGCUUUCUCCUUCCUGCCUACAUUCUACAGAUAUGCUACCUCUAGUCAUAAAAAUACACAUACAGGACAAAAAUCAUUGCUGAAUUAGUACAGGACUAAUUGAAGUAACAGUUUGUAUUAUUGAAGUUAAACUGAUACUCAGCUUAGGUAUCCUUGAUGAGGUGAGAUAAGGGUUCACUCAGGUGCAGAUACACAAUGCAGUUUAAAAAAAAAGAAGCUAAGCUAGUUUCAUAAUUACACCUUUUUGUUGAGACUUCCUCUCAAUGAAAGAAUAGGAUUCCACAAAUGAAGUAUGAUUUACUGUGUUUAUUUACACACACACCUGUUUAUACACAGGCACACACACCUGUCUGUAAACAGUUCUUGCUUUUUUUUUUUUUUACUUUGGAGCCUUUGCAGGAAGCACUGCUAACUCGCUCUGCUCUAAGUUGGUGCUGGAUAUUGUUACUAUUUGUUAAAACUCUCAGAAGCAGAGAUGGAUUUGGCUUAUGUCUUAGUGCACAGUUCUUAAUUGGAAGUUGUAGGAAUCUCAUAAACUGUGAUGAGAGCCAUGGAAGAGUGUGUUGCAGGGAAAAAAAAACAAAAGUGGAAGGAAUGAAAAUGGAAGAGAGGGCAGAAUGAAAAAUUAGUGAAGAACAGAUUUAAAAAGUCUCAGCAGAUGAAGCUGAGUGAACUUUUUGCCUCGUACUAUCUGUAAUGUCCAAGUCUGAAAAUGUAUUUAUAUAUAUAUAAAAUGACACACAGAUUUUCUUAAUAUUUUCUCAUGUCCUUAUCACUGCGUAAUGUUCUUACCUUCUGAAGCCACUUUUAGUUAUGUAUGUUAUAGUAAUACAAUAUAAAAUACAAGAUUGUGGUGAUUUUUUUUCUAUGCUCUGUAGUGUUACAGUGUAUAAUUUACCUGGAUCAUGUAAAGAUUUUUCUGAAAUGAGAAUUUCACGGCUAGUCAAACUCAGCAGCUGAGUUGCUUUCUUUUUCUUUCCAUGAGACCAAAAAUGGGUUUUGUGACAUACUUAGGUACUGGAGAUUCAACAGCUCAUCACAUGAAAUGGUCAGAAUUUCAGCUCCAGAUUUCCACUCCUAAGGAACUCCAGAUUGUCUCAGUCUCAAAUAAUUCAAAUUUUACUGGAGUGAGGACUUGGAUACCAGAUAAGCACUUAUGACCAGCUCAUCUGAUGAUAUCACUUGUGUUGAAAUUUAGAGAUAAGAGUACAGAAAUGAAGGAAAUGUGGCACAUUUGCUAAUUUUUUUCAUCAUUACACUGUUAUUUUUUCAGUUUCAGGAGAAAGUAAAGGUGUUGGCAUACUAAUGCCAGAUACAGAUACUUCUAAACUAGGAGAUAUUAAGCAGAAAAAGAAAAUACUUUAGUGGGCAUAAAUAAGAUGCAACGUUUGCCUAUGGGGAAAAUUUAAUAUGGCAGCAACACCAAACAACUGCAAUAAAGUUCUGAUAAGUUGUUUUUCCCCUCAGGAUAAUCCAACAGUUUGGUGUAUUCAAUUAUUUUACGCGAUCCUGAAGGGCUGAGAAAACUGUGUGGUUUGUUUUACAACUCUUAUUCGUUAUUCUGAAGGCAUAGUUUCUUUACAGAAAUGAGAAUUACUUAUUCCCAGUAAUGUAGUUUGUAUUAAUA